AUUUAUGAUGACUUACAUGGAAUCUUGUUUGGUUGAUUGAUGACUUGCUGUUGAGACUCAGAAAUCUGAUUUUC
Non-coding RNA from Pteropus alecto (black flying fox), 74 nucleotides. Lineage: Eukaryota; Metazoa; Chordata; Mammalia; Chiroptera; Pteropodidae. The record is from Rfam.